CCUACGGGUGGCAGCAGUGAGGAAUAUUGGUCAAUGGACGCAAGUCUGAACCAGCCAUGCCGCGUGCAGGAAGACGGCUCUAUGAGUUGUAAACCUCUUUUGUACGAGGGUAAACGCAGAUACGCGUAUCUGUCUGAGAGUAUCCGACGAAUAAGGAUCGGCUAACUCCGUGCCAGCAGCCGCGGUAAUACGGAGGAUUCAAGCGUUAUCCGGAUUUAUUGGGUUUAAAGGGUGCGUAGGCGGGCGGAGAAGUUAGAGGUGAAAUCCCGAGGCGCAACUUCGGAAUUGCCUCGUACACUGUGCGGCUAGAGAGUAGGUGCGGUAGGCGGAAUGUAUGGUGUAGCGGUGAAAUGCUUAGAGAUCACACAGAACACCGAUUGCGAAGGCAGCUUACCAGGCUACAUCUGACGUUGAGGCACGAAAGCGUGGGGAGCAAACAGGAUUAGAUACCCUAGUAGUC
Molecule: ribosomal RNA, 460 nt
Filed under: uncultured bacterium
Lineage: Bacteria
Description: partial 16S ribosomal RNA
Rfam family: Bacterial small subunit ribosomal RNA
Source: RNAcentral